GGGCGAAUAGCUCAGUCGGGAGAGCAUCUGCCUUACAAGCAGAAGGUCACAGGUUCGAGCCCUGUUUCGCCCACCA
Molecule: transfer RNA, 76 nt
Filed under: Candidatus Krumholzibacteriia bacterium
Lineage: Bacteria; Candidatus Krumholzibacteriota; Candidatus Krumholzibacteriia
Description: tRNA-Val
Rfam family: tRNA
About the family: Transfer RNA (tRNA) molecules are approximately 80 nucleotides in length.
Source: RNAcentral